Molecule: ribosomal RNA, 449 nt
Filed under: Chlorella sp. USTB-01
Lineage: Eukaryota; Viridiplantae; Chlorophyta; Trebouxiophyceae; Chlorellales; Chlorellaceae
Description: bacterial SSU rRNA
Rfam family: Bacterial small subunit ribosomal RNA
Source: RNAcentral
ACGACUUCAGGCGAUGAUCAGUAGCUGGUCUGAGAGGAUGAUCAGCCACACUGGGACUGAGACACGGCCCAGACUCCUACGGGAGGCAGCAGUGAGGAAUUUUCCGCAAUGGGCGAAAGCCUGACGGAGCAAUGCCGCGUGAAGGAUGAAGGCCUAUGGGUUGUAAACUUCUUUUCUCAGAGAAGAAUUCUUGACGGUAUCUGAGGAAUAAGCAUCGGCUAACUCUGUGCCAGCAGCCGCGGUAAGACAGAGGAUGCAAGCGUUAUCCGGAAUGAUUGGGCGUAAAGCGUCUGUAGGUGGCUUAAAAAGUCUUCUGUCAAAGAUCAGGGCUUAACCCUGGGCCGGCAGGAGAAACUCUUAGGCUAGAGUUUGGUAGGGGCAGAGGGAAUUCCCGGUGGAGCGGUGAAAUGCGUAGAGAUCGGGAGGAACACCAAAGGCGAAAGCACUCA